UGGGAGCGGCAGACGGGUGAGUAAUACGUUGGAACCUGCCCCAAAGUCAGGGAUAACCAGUAGAAAUAUUGGCUAAUACCGGAUAGUCACGAAAGUGUAAAGCUUUUGCGCUUUGGGAGGGGCCUGCGGUCUAUCAGCUUGUUGGUAAGGUAAUGGCUUACCAAGGCUAUGACGGAUAGCUGGUUUGAGAGAAUGAUCAGCCACAAUGGAACUGAGACACGGUCCAUACUCCUACGGGAGGCAGCAGUGAGGAAUCUUCCGCAAUGGGCGAAAGCCUGACGGAGCAACACCGCGUGAAGGAUGAAGGUCGUAAGAUUGUAAACUUCUUUUCUGAGGGAAGAAUUCUGACGGUACCUCAGGAAUAAGCAUCGGCUAACUACGUGCCAGCAGCCGCGGUAAGACGUAGGAUGCAAGCGUUAUCCGGAAUUAUUGGGCAUAAAGAGUUCGUAGGCGGUUUGUUAAGUUGGAUGUUAAAUUUUUGAGCUCAACUUAAAAAAGUAUCCAAAACUGGCAAACUGGAGACUGGUAGAGGUAAGUGGAAUUCUGCAUGUAGGGGUAAUAUCCGUAGAUAUGCAGAGGAACACCAAAAGCGAAGGCAGCUUACUGGACCAGUUCUGACGCUCAAGAACGAAAGCGUGG
Molecule: ribosomal RNA, 639 nt
Filed under: uncultured organism
Description: bacterial SSU rRNA
Rfam family: Bacterial small subunit ribosomal RNA
Source: RNAcentral